Molecule: ribosomal RNA, 483 nt
Filed under: uncultured bacterium
Lineage: Bacteria
Description: partial 16S ribosomal RNA
Rfam family: Bacterial small subunit ribosomal RNA
Source: RNAcentral
GACGAACGCUGGCGGCGUGCUUAACACAUGCAAGUCGAACGGUAAGGCCCCUUCGGGGGUACACGAGUGGCGAACGGGUGAGUAACACGUGAGCAACCUGCCCUUGACUCUGGGAUAACAGUUGGAAACAGCUGCUAAUACCGGAUACGACCUUCGAUGACAUCAUCUAGAGGUGGAAAGCGCUUUAGCGGUCAAGGAUGGGCUCGCGGCCUAUCAGCUUGUUGGUGAGGUAACGGCUCACCAAGGCUUCGACGGGUAGCCGGCCUGAGAGGGCGACCGGCCACACUGGGACUGAGAUACGGCCCAGACUCCUACGGGAGGCAGCAGUGGGGAAUAUUGCACAAUGGGCGCAAGCCUGAUGCAGCAACGCCGCGUGCGGGAUGACGGCCUUCGGGUUGUAAACCGCUUUCAGUUCCGACGAAGCGCAAGUGACGGCAGGAUCAGAAGAAGGACCGGCCAACUACGUGCCAGCCGCCGCGGUAA